AUGAACGCUGGCGGCGUGCCUAAUACAUGCAAGUCGCGCGAACGGACGAGAAGCUUGCUUCUCUGAUGUUAGCGGCGGCCGGGUGAGUAACACGUGGAUAACCUACCUAUAAGACUGGGAUAACUUCGGGAAACCGGAGCUAAUACCGGAUGAUAUUUUGAACCGCAUGGUUCAAAAGUGAAAGACGGUCUUGCUGUCACUUAUAGAUGGAUCCGCGCUGCAUUAGCUAGUUGGUAAGGUAACGGCUUACCAAGGCAACGAUGCAUAGCCGACCUGAGAGGGUGAUCGGCCACACUGGAACUGAGACACGGUCCAGACUCCUACGGGAGGCAGCAGUAGGGAAUCUUCCGCAAAGGGCGAAAGCCUGACGGAGCAACGCCGCGUGAGUGAUGAAGGUCUUCGGAUCGUAAAACUCUGUUAUUAGGGAAGAACAUAUGUGUAAGUAACUGUGCACAUCUUGACGGUACCUAAUCAGAAAGCCACGGCUAACUACGUG
This 496-nucleotide ribosomal RNA is filed under the name uncultured bacterium. RNAcentral describes it as "partial 16S ribosomal RNA". It matches the Rfam family "Bacterial small subunit ribosomal RNA", at positions 29 to 507 of the family's 1533-position model. The record is from RNAcentral.